This 255-nucleotide ribosomal RNA is filed under the name uncultured bacterium. RNAcentral's name for it is "partial 16S ribosomal RNA". It matches the Rfam family "Bacterial small subunit ribosomal RNA", at positions 524 to 776 of the family's 1533-position model. The record is from RNAcentral.
UACGGGGGGGGGCAAGCGUUGUUCGGAAUUACUGGGCGUAAAGGGCGUGUAGGCGGCCACCGCAAGUCGGUUGUGAAAUCUCCGGGCUUAACCCGGAAAGGUCAACCGAUACUGCGGGGCUAGAGUGCAGAAGGGGCAACUGGAAUUCUCGGUGUAGCGGUGAAAUGCGUAGAUAUCGAGAGGAACACCUGCGGCGAAGGCGGGUUGCUGGGCUGACACUGACGCUGAAACGCGAAAGCUAGGGGAGCGAACGGG